GUGAUGAUGGUGUAGUGGUAACACGGCUAGCGUUUACCUCAAUGGCGCCCGAGUUUCGAUUCCUCGUCAUAACG
Globomyces sp. JEL0801 is the source of this 74-nucleotide non-coding RNA. Lineage: Eukaryota; Fungi; Chytridiomycota; Chytridiomycetes; Rhizophydiales; Globomycetaceae. The record is from the annotation of a GenBank genome assembly.